GAAGUCCUUCGGGGUCGGGUGUAAUUCCCAAUCGGCGGUGAUAGAGAAAUCUUAAGCCCGCGAGCGUAACAGCAGGAUUUGGUGUAAGUCCAAAGCCGACAGUAAUAGUCUGGAUGGAAGAAGGAGCUG
Lysinibacillus odysseyi 34hs-1 = NBRC 100172 is the source of this 129-nucleotide regulatory RNA element. It matches the Rfam family "FMN riboswitch aptamer (RFN element)". From Rfam's summary of the family: The RFN element is a highly conserved domain that is found frequently in the 5'-untranslated regions of prokaryotic mRNAs that encode for flavin mononucleotide (FMN) biosynthesis and transport proteins. This element is a metabolite-dependent riboswitch that directly binds FMN in the absence of proteins. In Bacillus subtilis, the riboswitch most likely controls gene expression by causing premature transcription termination within the 5' untranslated region of the ribDEAHT operon and precluding access to the ribosome-binding site of ypaA mRNA. Lineage: Bacteria; Bacillati; Bacillota; Bacilli; Caryophanales; Bacillaceae. The record is from Rfam.